CCAGAGUGGAACUAUCAAAGGGGCAGUGAGGACUUGGGGAGGAGAAUUAUAAGGUCACUUGUUUGUAGGAAGGGAUGAAGAAAUGUAUGAAAAAUCCCAUUAACUAUGAAAAGGUUAAGGAUGUUUCUCAGGGCAAAGAUGAGAAUCUAGCUUUAUUGCAAAGGCAUUUAGUUGAGGCAAUGAGGAAAUAUACUAACACUGAUCCUGCUUCAAGGGAAGGACAAACCCUCUGGGAGUGCAUUUUAUAACCCAGUCUGCCCCUGAUAUCCAUAGGAAACUACGAAAAGCAGCUAUGGGUCCCCAAACUCCUAUGGACAGCUUUUGGAGAUGGCAUUUUUAGUUUUUAAUAACAGGGACAAAGCAGAGGAAGCAGAAAGAGCAAGAAGGACCUCCCACAAGGUGCAGCUCUUGGCUGCAGCCUCAAACUUACCUCGCACGUGGGACUGCCCUCCUGGAUGUUGGCCUGGACAAGGGAAGCUGAAAGAUACCACCUUUUGUCGGAACUUGGAGUUAGUAAUGACCUUCACUAUAGCAAUACUCUCGGACUGAGCUUCUCUCUACCCUGAUGCAAGACACCCUAAUAGGCAGGAAUAUCACCACCCCUAUUCAGCCUGAAGAAGUUACAGAAGAUGGAUCUUCAUCCCUCUGCAACCCUUAGAAUUGAGGAUCUUCUUGCAAAGGGAAUGGGGAAAUAUAUCAGAGGCAUUUGAACCAGAGCAACUCCAUCUUGAGUGAGGGCUAGGAAAAUGAGGCUGGGACUUGCUGGGCUGCAUUCUCAGAAAGUUAGGCUUUCCUAGCCUCUAGAUGUUUACGGUUAAGGGAACAAAUUAAUAAUGUUUACUAAACACACCCAGACUUGGGAGUGUCCAGAUAUCCCAAUAUCUGGAGAACAAAGGCAUUCCUAAUUUUGCUUUAAAGACAAUAAUAUUGAUUCUUGCAAAAUAUAGUAAUUAAGAAAAUUAAUCCUUUAUCACAAACCCUUGUAGCAAAACACAUCUCCCCAUAUAUACAAGCAUUGUACCUAGGGUGGAUGCGUUCCAUCUCCUACUUCCAGGAAUAUCCUACUCUGUGUAUGGAGUAGCUGUACUUUUACCACUUUACUUUCUUAAUAAACUUGUUUUUACUUUGCA
Symphalangus syndactylus (siamang) is the source of this 1130-nucleotide long non-coding RNA. RefSeq lists it as uncharacterized. Lineage: Eukaryota; Metazoa; Chordata; Mammalia; Primates; Hylobatidae. The record is from RefSeq and is a predicted model, not a curated record.